AUUGUCUUUCCUCCCCUCACAUGCACACGUCUCUUUUCUCAGUUUCAAACUGGUUGCAACUCAGAGAGGGGCUGGAAUAAACCCCUUUUGUUCUUUUGCAGUAGGGUUCAUUGAUGCCAUUCCGGAUCCCAACCCAAGCCUGCUCAAGAUGGAAAAAGCAACAGUGUGGAGCAAGGCUGGGAACCCCCUUAGCUGGAACCAACUCCACUGGACAAGGCACGUGAACUGGUGCUCUGAAUUACUACCUACGUGUUUCAGGUGAAAAAGUUGUCCAGUGUUCGGUCUUCUGAUUCCUGGAGUGAGGAAAGAGUUCAGCAACGUCUUCUCGAGAGGAGCGGGCAUGAAAAAGAAUGGACUCGUCUGUUCAGGAAGCGGCAAGAGGUCUGGGCGCCAAAAAUGUGAGCCUUUUGGUGAUUCUGCAUCACCCCGGGGAAGUAACGAUGAUGCUCCAGAUGCAGGACCACGUCAUUCUCCCAAGCGCCUGCUUGUGACAACACAACCCGGUCCCUCCAGCGCCCUUCCUGCUGCCUGCCAAGUGCUCGGAGGUUCCGCCGUGGACAAGUGGCUUGGCUUAUU
RNAcentral lists this long non-coding RNA (576 nucleotides) under Calidris pugnax (ruff). RNAcentral's name for it is "lncRNA (ENSCPUG00000019950.1)". Lineage: Eukaryota; Metazoa; Chordata; Aves; Charadriiformes; Scolopacidae. The record is from RNAcentral.